UACGUAGGGUGCGAGCGUUGUCCGGAAUUAUUGGGCGUAAAGAGCUCGUAGGCGGUGUGUCGCGUCGGCCGUGAAAACCUGGGGCUCAACUCUGGGCGUGCGGUCGAUACGGGCAUCACUAGAGUUCGGCAGGGGAGACUGGAAUUCCUGGUGUAGCGGUGAAAUGCGCAGAUAUCAGGAGGAACACCAGUGGCGAAGGCGGCUGCCUGGCCCAAUACUGACACUCAGGUGCGACAGCGUGGGGAGCAAACAGG
Molecule: ribosomal RNA, 254 nt
Filed under: uncultured bacterium
Lineage: Bacteria
Description: partial 16S ribosomal RNA
Rfam family: Bacterial small subunit ribosomal RNA
Source: RNAcentral